AUUGAACGCUGGCGGCAUGCUUUACACAUGCAAGUCGAACGGUAACAGGUUAAGCUGACGAGUGGCGAACGGGUGAGUAAUGCAUCGGAACGUGCCCGGUCGUGGGGGAUAACGCAGCGAAAGCUGCGCUAAUACCGCAUACGAUCUGAGGAUGAAAGCGGGGGACCGUAAGGCCUCGCGCGAUCGGAGCGGCCGACGUCAGAUUAGGUAGUUGGUGGGGUAAAGGCUCACCAAGCCAACGAUCUGUAGCUGGUCUGAGAGGACGACCAGCCACACUGGGACUGAGAGACGGCCCAGACUCCUACGGGAGGCAGCAGUGGGGAAUUUUGGACAAUGGGCGAAAGCCUGAUCCAGCAGUGCCGCGUGCAGGAAGAAGGCCUUCGGGUUGUAAACUGCUUUUGUACGGAGCGAAAAGGUCUCCUCUAAUACAGGGGGCUCAUGACGGUACCAUAAGAAUAAGCACCGGCUAACUACGUGCCAGCCGCCGCCGUAA
This 493-nucleotide ribosomal RNA is filed under the name uncultured bacterium. RNAcentral's name for it is "partial 16S ribosomal RNA". It matches the Rfam family "Bacterial small subunit ribosomal RNA", at positions 29 to 523 of the family's 1533-position model. The record is from RNAcentral.